GUGGGGAAUCUUCCGCAAUGGACGAAAGUCUGACGGAGCAACGCCGCGUGAGUGAAGAAGGUUUUCGGAUCGUAAAGCUCUUUCGUUAGGGACGAACGUGCUCUUUGUGAAUAAUGAGGAGUAAUGACGGUACCUAAAUAAGAAGCCACGGCUAACUACGUGCCAGCAGCCGCGGUAAUACGUAGGUGGCAAGCGUUGUCCGGAAUUAUUGGGCGUAAAGCGCGCGCAGGCGGGAUAUCAAGUCUGUCUUAAAAGUGCGAGGCUCAACCUCGUGAGGGGAUAAAAACUGGUAUUCUUGAGUGUCGGAGAGGAAAGUGGAAUUCCAAGUGUAGCGGUGAAAUGCGUAGAGAUUUGGAAGAACACCAGUAGCGAAGGCGACUUUCUGGACGAUGUCUGACGCUGAGGCGCGAAAGCUAGGGGAGCGAACGGGAUUAGAAACCCGAGUAGUCC
RNAcentral lists this ribosomal RNA (450 nucleotides) under uncultured bacterium. RNAcentral's name for it is "partial 16S ribosomal RNA". It matches the Rfam family "Bacterial small subunit ribosomal RNA", at positions 354 to 796 of the family's 1533-position model. The record is from RNAcentral.